GACAGAGGUGCCGAGCGUUAGGCGGAAUCACUGGGCUUAAAGCGUGUGUAGGCGGGUCGUUAAGUGCCUUGUGAAAUCCCACCGCUCACCGGUGGAACUGCUUGGCAUACUGGCGAUCUUGAGCCACUUAGGGGCAACCGGAACAAACGGUGGAGCGGUGAAAUGCGUAGAUAUCGGAAGGAACACCGGUGGCGAAAGCGGCGCGCUGGAUCUCUUCUGACGCUGAGGCGCGAAAGCCAGGGGAGCAAACGGG
This 253-nucleotide ribosomal RNA is filed under the name uncultured bacterium. RNAcentral's name for it is "partial 16S ribosomal RNA". It matches the Rfam family "Bacterial small subunit ribosomal RNA", at positions 524 to 776 of the family's 1533-position model. The record is from RNAcentral.